GUCUACGGCCAUGCCACCCUGAACAAGCCCCAUCCCAUCUGAUCUCGGAAGCUAAGCAGGGUCGGGCCUGGUUAGUACUUGGAUGGGAGACCACCUAGGGAGACCAGGUGCUGUAGGCG
Molecule: ribosomal RNA, 119 nt
Filed under: Pteropus alecto (black flying fox)
Lineage: Eukaryota; Metazoa; Chordata; Mammalia; Chiroptera; Pteropodidae
Source: RNAcentral